AGCUUUGCACAGUGGCAGUAUCCUAGCCAAUGAGGUUUAUCCAAGGUGGGAUUACUGCUAGUUGAAAACUGUAUAUUAUAUGU
This 83-nucleotide small nuclear RNA is filed under the name Nyctereutes procyonoides (raccoon dog). RNAcentral's name for it is "U4 spliceosomal RNA". It matches the Rfam family "U4 spliceosomal RNA", at positions 1 to 83 of the family's 138-position model. Rfam says of the family: U4 small nuclear RNA (U4 snRNA) is a component of the major U2-dependent spliceosome. The structure of U4 snRNA from yeast and human has been reported. Lineage: Eukaryota; Metazoa; Chordata; Mammalia; Carnivora; Canidae. The record is from Rfam by way of RNAcentral.